AGAACGAACGCUGGCGGCAUGCCUAACACAUGCAAGUCGAACGCUCUUGAGGCUUCGGUUUCAAGGGAGUGGCGCACGGGUGAGUAGCGCGUGGGAACCUGCCCUGUUGUGGGGGAUAACCGAGGGAAACUUCGGCUAAUACCGCAUGCGCCCGGGGAAACCCGGGGAAAGAUUUAUCGCAGCAGGAGGGGCCCGCGUCGGAUUAGGUAGUUGGUAGGGUAACGGCCUACCAAGCCUUUGAUCCGUAGCUGGUCUGAGAGGAUGAUCAGCCACACUGGGACUGAGACACGGCCCAGACUCCUACGGGAGGCAGCAGUGGGGAAUAUUGGACAAUGGGCGCAAGCCUGAUCCAGCAAUGCCGCGUGAGUGAUGAAGGCCUUAGGUUGUAAAGCUCUUUCGCCCGCGACGAUGAUGACGGUAGCGGGAGAAGAACGCCCCGGCUAACUUCGUGCCAGCAGCCGC
This 462-nucleotide ribosomal RNA is filed under the name uncultured bacterium. RNAcentral describes it as "SSU rRNA". It matches the Rfam family "Bacterial small subunit ribosomal RNA", at positions 26 to 518 of the family's 1533-position model. The record is from RNAcentral.